CCUACGGGAGGCAGCAGUAAGGAAUAUUGGACAAUGGACGCAAGUCUGAUCCAGCCAUGCCGCGUGAAGGAUUAAGGCCCUCUGGGUUGUAAACUUCUUUUAUAGGGGACGAAAAAAGGGCUUUCUAGCUCGUCUGACGGUACCCUAUGAAUAAGCACCGGCUAACUCCGUGCCAGCAGCCGCGGUAAUACGGAGGGUGCAAGCGUUAUCCGGAUUCACUGGGUUUAAAGGGUGCGUAGGCGGGCAGUUAAGUCAGUGGUGAAAUCUUCGAGCUCAACUCGGAAACUGCCAUUGAUACUAUCUGUCUUGAAUACUGUGGAGGUGAGCGGAAUAUGUCAUGUAGCGGUGAAAUGCUUAGAUAUGACAUAGAACACCGAUUGCGAAGGCAGCUCGCUACACAAAUAUUGACGCUGAGGCACGAAAGCGUGGGGAUCAAACAGGAUUAGAUACCCUGGUAGUCCACGCCCUAAACUAUGGAUACUCGACAUUUGCGAUACACAGUAAGUGUCUGAGCGAAAGCAUUAAGUAUCCCACCUGGAAGUACGACCGCAAGGUUGAAACUCAAAGGAAUUGACGG
RNAcentral lists this ribosomal RNA (577 nucleotides) under uncultured bacterium. RNAcentral describes it as "bacterial SSU rRNA". It matches the Rfam family "Bacterial small subunit ribosomal RNA", at positions 338 to 916 of the family's 1533-position model. The record is from RNAcentral.